RNAcentral lists this ribosomal RNA (248 nucleotides) under uncultured bacterium. RNAcentral describes it as "partial 16S ribosomal RNA". It matches the Rfam family "Bacterial small subunit ribosomal RNA", at positions 85 to 334 of the family's 1533-position model. The record is from RNAcentral.
AAGAUGGCGACCGGCGCACGGGUGAGUAACACGUAUCCAACCCACCGAUAACUCUGGAAUAGCCUUUCGAAAGAAAGAUUAAUACCGGAUAGCAUACGAAUAUCGCAUGAUAUUUUUAUUAAAGAAUUUCGGUUAUCGAUGGGGAUGCGUUCCAUUAGUUUGUUGGCGGGGUAACGGCCCACCAAGACUACGAUGGAUAGGGGUUCUGAGAGGAAGGUCCCCCACAUUGGAACUGAGACACGGUCCAA